This 1540-nucleotide ribosomal RNA is filed under the name metagenome. RNAcentral's name for it is "bacterial LSU rRNA". It matches the Rfam family "Bacterial large subunit ribosomal RNA", at positions 1013 to 2575 of the family's 2925-position model. The record is from RNAcentral.
CAGGAGAAUAAUCCAUACCAUCAGUUAAGGUCCCAAAAUAUGGCUCAGUGAAAAAGGAUGUGAUUUUGCUUAGACAAUGGGGAUGUUGGCUUAGAGGCAGCCAUCAUUUAAACAGUGCGUAACAGCUGACCCAUCGAGCGAAAUUGCGCCGAAAAUGAUCGGGACUUAAGCCAUAUACCGAAGCUAUGGGUGCACCGCAAGGUGCGCAGUAGGAAAGCGUCCCAAGUGCAGCGAAGUGGAAGGGGUAACCGACCAUGGAGCGCUUGGGAGUGAGAAUGCAGACAUAAGUAACGAUAAAGAUGGUUAAAUUCCAUCUCGCCGAAAUCCCAAGGAUUCCUGGGGAAGGUUCGUCCUCCCAGGGUUAGUCGGGUGCUAAGAUGAGGCCGUAAGGAGUAGUCGAUGCCAAUCUGGUUUAAUAUUCCAGAACCACUUUACUUGCGUUCGAUCUAUGGAGUGACGGAGAAAGUUAACGUGGCAACGUGUUGAAUCGUUGUCCAAGCUUGUCGGCUGCCCGGGGAUAAAAGACUGGGUAAGGCUUAAGAGCGACGGGACCCUGAGGCCACGGCUGAUGGGGAUCGCGUGAUACUACGCUUCCAAGAAAAGCUUCGUAGUUAGCAAGUGGAGUGCCCGUACCGUAAACCGACACAGGUGGGAAAGAUGAGUAUUCUAAGGCGCGCAGGUUAAUUCUCUCUAAGGAACUCGGCAAAUUAGCCCCGUAUCUUCGGUAGAAGGGGUGCCCCGCAAGGGGCCGCAGUUAAUUGCGUCAACCGACUGUUUAUCAAAAACACAGCACUCUGCUAAGUCGCAAGACGACGUAUAGGGUGUGACACGUGACCAAUGCGGAAAGGUGAAAGUCUAGGGUGCAAGCUCUGGAUCUAAGCCCCCGUGAAUGUCGGCCGUAACUAUAACGGUCCUAAGGUAGCGAAAUUCCUUGUCGGGUAAGUUCCGACCCGCACGAAUCGUGUAACGAGUUGACGACUGUCUCGGAGAGAGGCCUGGUGAAAUUGUAGUGGCGGUGAAGAUGCCGCCUACCCGCAGCAGGACGGAAAGACCCUAUGCACCUUUACUGUAAGCUGUUAUUGUCGCUUGAUUUUUAAUACGUAGAAUAGGUGGGAGACUUCGAAGCCCGGUCUCAGGAUCGGGCUGAGUCACAACGUGAAAUACCACUUUUUAAUUGUUAGGCGUCUAACCUCAUACCAUUAACUGGUUGUGGGACAGUGAUAGCAGGUCAGUUUUUCUGGGGCGGAAUCCUCCCAAAGAGUAACGGAGGAUUACGAAGGUUCCCUCGGCCCGGUCGGUAAUCGGGCUAUAGAGCGCAUGAGUAUAAGGGAGCUUUACUGUGAGACCUACAAGUCGAGCAGUUGCGAAAGCAGGUUCAAGUGAUCCGGUGGUUGAAUGUGGAAUCGCCAUCGCUCAUAGGACAAAAGGUACGCUAGGGAUAACAGGCUGAUCGCGCCCAAGCGUUCACAGCGACGGCGCGGUUUGGCACCUCGAUGUCGGCUCAUCACAUCCUGGGGCUGGAGAAGGUCCCAAGGGUUUG